CGUCCCGCCGGCGACCGGCGCACGGGUGAGUAACACGUAUGCAACCUGGCCGCCACAGGGGGAUAACCCGCGGAAACGCGGCCUAAUACCCCGUGACGCCACCGGAGGGCAUCCUCCGGUGGCCAAAGGAGCGAUCCGGUGGCGGAUGGGCAUGCGGCGCAUUAGCUAGACGGCGGGGUGACGGCCCACCGUGGCGACGAUGCGUAGGGGUUCUGAGAGGAAGGUCCCCCACAUUGGAACUGAGACACGGUCCAAACUCCUACGGAAGGCAGCAG
This 275-nucleotide ribosomal RNA is filed under the name uncultured bacterium. Its description in RNAcentral is "partial 16S ribosomal RNA". It matches the Rfam family "Bacterial small subunit ribosomal RNA", at positions 81 to 354 of the family's 1533-position model. The record is from RNAcentral.